UGGGGAAUAUUGCACAAUGGGCGCAAGCCUGAUGCAGCAACGCCGCGUGAGGGACGACGGCCUUCGGGUUGUAAACCUCUUUUGGCAGGGAAGAAGCGAAAGUGACGGUACCUGCAGAAAAAGCACCGGCUAACUACGUGCCAGCAGCCGCGGUGAUACGUAGGGUGCAAGCGUUGUCCGGAAUUAUUGGGCGUAAAGAGCUCGUAGGCGGUUUGUCGCGUCUGCUGUGAAAACCCGAGGCUCAACCUCGGGCCUGCAGUGGGUACGGGCAAACUAGAGUGCGGUAGGGGAGAUUGAAAUUCCUGGUGUAGCGGUGGAAUGCGCAGAUAUCAGGAGGAACACCGACGGCGAAGGCAGAUCUCUGGGCCGUAACUGACGCUGAGGAGCGAAAGCAUGGGGAGCGAACA
RNAcentral lists this ribosomal RNA (407 nucleotides) under uncultured bacterium. RNAcentral's name for it is "bacterial SSU rRNA". It matches the Rfam family "Bacterial small subunit ribosomal RNA", at positions 355 to 774 of the family's 1533-position model. The record is from RNAcentral.